This 75-nucleotide transfer RNA is filed under the name Patescibacteria group bacterium. RNAcentral's name for it is "tRNA-Glu". It matches the Rfam family "tRNA". From Rfam's summary of the family: Transfer RNA (tRNA) molecules are approximately 80 nucleotides in length. Their secondary structure includes four short double-helical elements and three loops (D, anti-codon, and T loops). Further hydrogen bonds mediate the characteristic L-shaped molecular structure. tRNAs have two regions of fundamental functional importance: the anti-codon, which is responsible for specific mRNA codon recognition, and the 3' end, to which the tRNAs corresponding amino acid is attached (by aminoacyl-tRNA synthetases). tRNAs cope with the degeneracy of the genetic code in two manners: having more than one tRNA (with a specific anti-codon) for a particular amino acid; and 'wobble' base-pairing, i.e. permitting non-standard base-pairing at the 3rd anti-codon position. The record is from RNAcentral.
CGCCCUUUCGUCUAGCGGUCUGGACAUCUCCCUCUCAAGGAGAAGGUGCGAGGUCAGCACUCGCAAGGGCGACCA